RNAcentral lists this unclassified non-coding RNA (377 nucleotides) under plant metagenome. RNAcentral describes it as "partial contains 5.8S ribosomal RNA, internal transcribed spacer 2, and large subunit ribosomal RNA". The stretch from base 1 to 104 matches the Rfam family "5.8S ribosomal RNA", at positions 51 to 154 of the family's 154-position model. The record is from RNAcentral.
AAAUGCGAUAAGUAAUGUGAAUUGCAGAAUUCAGUGAAUCAUCGAAUCUUUGGACGCACCUUGCGCUCCUUGGUAUUCCUUGGAGCAUGCCUGUUUGAGUAUCAUGAAAUCUUCAAAGUAAAUCUUUUGUUAACUCAAUUGGUUUCUACUUUGGUAUUGGAGGUCUUUGCAGCUUCACACCUGCUCCUCUUUGUUCAUUAGCUGGAUCUCAGUGUUAUGCUUGGUUCCACUCGGCGUGAUAAGUUAUCUAUCGCUGAGGACACUGUAAAAGGUGGCCAAGGUAAAUGCAGAUGAACCGCUUCUAAUAGUCCAUUGACUUGGACAAUACUUUUAUGAUCUGAUCUCAAAUCAGGUAGGACUACCCGCUGAACUUAAGC